RNAcentral lists this ribosomal RNA (487 nucleotides) under uncultured Turicibacter sp. RNAcentral describes it as "bacterial SSU rRNA". It matches the Rfam family "Bacterial small subunit ribosomal RNA", at positions 8 to 507 of the family's 1533-position model. The record is from RNAcentral. Lineage: Bacteria; Bacillati; Bacillota; Erysipelotrichia; Erysipelotrichales; Turicibacteraceae.
AGAGUUUGAUCCUGGCUCAGGAUGAACGCUGGCGGCGUGCCUAAUACAUGCAAGUCGAGCGAACCACUUCGGUGGGAAGCGGCGAACGGGUGAGUAACACGUAGGUGAUCUGCCCAUCAGACGGGGACAACGAUUGGAAACGAUCGCUAAUACCGGAUAGGACGAAAGUUUAAAGAUGCUCCUGGCAUCACUGAUGGAUGAGCCUGCGGCGCAUUAGCUAGUUGGUGGGGUAAAGGCCUACCAAGGCGACGAUGCGUAGCCGACCUGAGAGGGUGAACGGCCACACUGGGACUGAGACACGGCCCAGACUCCUACGGGAGGCAGCAGUAGGGAAUCUUCGGCAAUGGGCGAAAGCCUGACCGAGCAACGCCGCGUGAAUGAAGAAGGCCUUCGGGUUGUAAAAUUCUGUUAUAAGGGAAGAAAGGUGAUAGGAGGAAAUGGCUAUCAAUUGACGGUACCUUAUGAGAAAGCCACGGCUAACUACGUG